AUUUAAAGAUGACAUAAUUAUUUAAAUUGUUCCAAAAGCGGUCUUACAAAAUUGCAAAAUAGCAUAUGCCAACAUAAUUCAAAUGUCCAAACUAAUCUAACUAAAAUGCCCAUAAUCGAAGAAAUCGUCGGAAAUCUAACGCACUCCCCAAUCCCGUGCGAUCAAGCCUCUGGAUCUGGAAAAAACAGAAAAAAUAAAAUAAUGAGCUACACUAGCCCAGUAAGCAACAAAAUAUCCCAAAGUGGAGUUAGAGCAUAUCAGAUCAAAAUACAGGAUGAUGUCUGGAAUAAAUCACAAAUAUCGUUGUUUUGUUGUUUUCAAAAUUUAUUAUCAUUUUUUCAAAAACUCUGAUACCAGAAUCUCAACAUGAUAGGCUACGGCCACGUAACCCAGUGGCAUGGGUUGCACAGAGUGCCAGAAACCACUAUUGUUAGUCACCGGUGGCAACGGUGUCCAGAAACCACUAUUCUAAUCACCGGUGGCACGGUGUCGAAACCGGUUUCUUACAGAUUACAAGUCGACAGGUCCAACGUAUAAUCCCCAAUGGCGGGGCCAGAACAGAAUAGAACAGAUCAUAGCCAUACUGAGAAUGCAUAUAUAUAAAAAUAGAUUUCAUAAACUGUAAAGUCGUAUUUUACGGAUUUCAGAGCAUAUAUCAUGAUUUUCAAAUAAAAUUUAACAUGCCAGACCCAUUUUACUAAAUGCAAAACAUAUUUCAGAAUUUAAUCCAGUAAUAAUUAUCUUACCAAAUAAUUUAGAAAAUGCACUUUGAAGCAUUAAGUUACUUAUCUCUUCUCGCCUAAUCCCUACUUUAGAUAGGCGGAUCAGGUUCACCUAUUUACAUUUAAUUAAUUUCUUGUUAAUUUCAGAGCUAAGCAAAAAUUUAGAAAUAAUACUAUUGGACACGGCCCAAUAGGGCCCAGAGUUGGCCCAUAGUGGGCAUGGCCCGUUAGGGCCCAUAUCGGGCAUGGCUGAAUGGGCCCGCAUAGACCCAGUUAAAUAGGGCCCCCAAGGUUGGCUUCUAAUUGGUUCAUUUAUGCAAUAAGAUUUAUUGCAGGGACUAAUACUUAAUUUACAGGGUACUAUUUUAUAAAGCUGGAGUGGGCUAAAUAAAAUAUAGUUGGGGACCUUUAUGUAAUAAAUCUUUUCUAUGGGGAUCAAAUACAAAUUACAGAAGACCCUUUUGUGAAAUAACAUAAUGUCAAGGGCUUAUCUGCAAAAUUUCAUUUAUUGGCCAAAUAGGUUCGGGUUUCGGGUUCCGGAUUUCGGAUCCGGGUUCGGGUUCCGGGCUCGGAUCUGAAUAGGGCUCAAGUUGGGUUUCGGAUUUUCUCUUUUUUUUUAACUGGGCCCAAGUUGGGCCCAUGGUGGACCGGGCCCAAUUCGGGCCCACGAUGGACCGGGCCCAAGUCGAGCCCACAAAGGUACAGCCCAACUGGGCCCAACCGGACUGGACUGGGCCCAAGUUGGGCCUGCAAUGUAUAGGGCCCAACGGGCCCAGUUUGGCCCGUGAUGGGCCUCUUCCUUCCCCAAACCCCCCCCCCACGGACAGGGGGAGUAGGAGAGAUGGAGGAGAGGGAGAGGGCCGGCCUGGGUGGCCGGCCUGGGUGGCUCGGUCGAUGGCUAGCCGGCCGCCAUGGCGGCCGGCGACUGUUGUCGUGGCCGACGGGAAGGAGAAGCAACCGAGAUCAUCUCGGUUGCUUGGGUUGAAACAGAGGAGACCAAAACCCAUGAAAGCAAGGAGGGAGGCUUACCGGCGGUGGCAGAGGUAGUGGGAGGAAGAUCUCGGCUGCCGGUGCUCGAUUCGGUGGUCAAGCGGCGGUGGCGGCGCUCGAAAUCCAGAGGAUGAAUCUCGGAACAGGUGGCCGCGAGGGGGAUCCGGACGGCGGCGCUCGGUCAGGAGGGCACGCCGGUCACCACGGAGAGGAGGAGAAAAGGAGGGAAGAGGAGGAGGAGGAUGCGGAGGAGAGGAGGGCUUGGGGGUUUUAUCACCCCUCGUGGCGACUCUCCGCCGCGUGAAUCGCGGCGGCCGAGAGGAUUCCGUGGCCGGGAUUGGCCGCGGCACCCUUGCCUGGUUUGUCCCCGGAAGAACCGGAGAGGAUCGCAAUCACUUCCGGCCUUCCAAGAAUGGGGACGGGGCUGAAGUCGGCUGGGGCUGCCGACUUCAGCCCCAAUAUCUCACAGAAACAAUAAUCGGCACCAUAUACCUUAUCAUUGUCUCAAAAACCACUUGAACAUGGAAAAGAACAAAAAAAUAUGCAUUAAGAAUUUACUUUGACAAAACUUAAAAAAUGAAAAGAUACAAAAACAAAAAAAAACUUGGUACACGUUGAGACACAAGACCAUCUCUAGAGUUGGGGUGGUACCAACUGUCCUGGCAUCGUACCAUCCUAAUGAAAUACUAGUACAGGUCUCAAUAUCAAUAUUUUAAACCUUGGGACCCAAUAAAUAGUUUGUUCCUACAUCUUGCACUCUACAAUACAUUCAUAAUACAUCAAUAUCAAACAACUUAAAUUUAAGAAAAUAUUAGCCAUAUUAUAUCAUAAAAUGUAGACUAUACCUUGCAAUUCUUUUCUUCAUUUGUAUUCAAUUAUAUGCAUGCAUUCUUCAAAAAUCACUUGUGUAAGUAUGAGCUCAUAAGGUUUAUGUCGUUUUUGAUCUCUUAUUGAUUGUAUUCAAGCAACUGAAGGGUAUGUUAAUAUGCUGAGCAAGGCUUAUUUUCAGGUUAUUUAAGUUAUUGUAGUAACUUUGGACUUCCGUAAGUAUUGCAAGUUAAUGUUUCGCAUAUAGAUUUCAAAUUACCAAAGAGGAAAAGGAAGAUAAUAUUUGAUUGUGGUUAUGAUCCAAUUAACAGCAUAUAUGAAUAGAUAGACUUAUUUUAGAUUAUGCACUUGAUAUGCUACUUUGUAUAAAUUAAUAUUUGGAGAAAAUCAAGAGAAUUGUAAAUGGAGGGUCAUUUUGUUGUCAUAUCAAAAUUAAUUUUACUAAAAUUACUAGGCUAGUCUAAAGUAGCGGAUCAUUGGCCAGCCCGCACACUAUGUAAUCAUUAGGCAAUCAAGUGUUGAUGCAGGCAUGUAGUUGGUUGCCAUGCUUAUGAAUCAUGAUAGUGGCAGGCCCCUAGGUAAUAGGGUCAAAACGCAUAGGCAGGAAAACCUAGGAACAUAGGUAGCAAACUUUGACGACACUAUCACAUAGUGUAUUACAAUAAGUAGUGUUGGCUGAAACAACUUGAUUCGAUUAGGGAGAAGAAAAAAUUUUCUUAGCCCACUUAACUCAAAUUUCUGAAAAGAAAAUUUAAAAAAAAUGAAAGAAUUGGAAAAGUAGGGUUUACCUCCCUUUUUCUUUCAUCGACGGUCCUAAGACGAAGGUACGUAUCCUCUAUUUAUAAUGGUGAGGUAUGUCUUUGCGUAAUUCGGAUUGGAUUUCUCUUCUAGAGUUCUAGUUCUAAAAGAACUCACUUUCCAAAAAUAGACAUGACUAGUAGAAAUAAACUCAAAAAAGCUAAAAUUUUAGAGGAGGUAGAUCUCGAAUUCUACAUCAAAGCUGUCUUCUAUUGCUCCAUCCUUCUUUCAUUGGAAGAUACGUCUGCUUAAAGUCUUUCUCGAAUUUUUUUUUUUGAUUUGAUCAGCUCAUUUUAGGGCUCAAAUGAUGGAAUUUGAGCCUGAACGCUAGGUGUGCCACAACCUUUCAAGGGGUGCGAUAUCAUAGAUAUCGAAAAAGUUUAUUAAAAAAAAGAUCAUCUUAAUCAGGUGUCGUAUGAUUAAGUUGUGGCCUUCGAAAAUUUGGUUCGUGACUCAGCUUGUCGAUGCGGUGGAUCUCACUUCUGAACCCUGUCCAGCCCUACCCGUAGUGGCAUGAAGUCUGGUGAUCCUUCCGGUUCACAUCUUCUAUAACAUGUCAGCAUGAAGUGAUUAUUGGGGAUAAUGCUAAGACAAAGCUAGUCAGUCGUGUCCAUUGGCUGAGCUGAUAGUUGAGUUUGUUGUGGUGUUGAAGUUAGAAACUAAGAAAUUCGAGUCUGUUUGGUUCUGGAGUCUUUCAGAUAUUGUUUUUGAUAUGGCAAUACAUAACCCUAAUGACGUGGCUUAGCCAGAUUAGUUUAGCUUACAACCGACAUAGACCCUAGUCAUACUCCAAAUUCUCUGAGAAAGUCAUAUCAAGAUCACGCUAACCAAUCUGAGAGCUAGGCCGAGCAGAUCUGAAGCAACCAACCUCCAAGGUUAACCAAUCUGAGAGCUAGGCCGAGCAGAUCUGAAGCAACCAACCUCCAAGGUUAUGUAUCGUCCGAUAUAAAAUUCUGCUGCUCGAACGAACAACCAUUCAGCUCAGCAACUAUCCCAAACCGACCUAAGUCCUUUUAUCCCAGACAGUGACAUUAGUCCUCCCUUCAGGUAAGCUCUCCUUUGAUCAUGCAGAGAGUUAAAGAUCAUAAUAAUGAACCUGGAUGGUUAUAGCAUGUGCCAAGACAGUUAUAGCACGAUCCUGGAUGGUUACAACUUACAACAUAUCUUAAGGUAGUUAUGAUGCAAUCUUGGAUGGUUAUUGGACAUCCCUUACUUGUUAUUGUACGAUUCCGGUCCGUUACAACACAACCCUUUGGAGAUUCCGACCUCUUGGCUAUAUAUUGGAUUGAAAUCCCUGCAUGAAAGGUUCAAUACCAAUAACACCACUAUACUGAGGUUUUCAUUCGUCUCUCUCCUCAUAGUCAAAACAUCCCUUUUGACUUAAGCAUCGGAGGGCCCGGUCGAAGCCAACCCCGGUGAGUUUUGACCUGUUGCUGUUUUGUAGAUCGAUAGAGGUGAUCGACAACAGUUCGGUGAUCAGCAACAACAGAUUAGAACUGUCUAUUGGAAACAAGGCGAAAUAAGUCAUGAAGCUCAAAAGAAAUAACCAUCUAGCGUCUACUCAACCGGAGUCUAAUGGCUCCCUACGCGGUCCUUAUAGAUCUUAGCCUCCUUAGUUUGACUCCGCGAGCUGUUAACAUUGAGCAAUUUAGCCUGCUUGUCCAGCAAGUAGAGGCCCUCACCACAAUAUUGCCGAACUUAUAGUAUUUGCAGAUUGCAAAUUCUCCAGCUAGCCAGCCGAACCACCAAGAUUGCUCGGUGCAGGGCAGUAGCCACGCUCCUCCCGAGCGAAAUCAAGGGUGCAAUCGUUCUAGCUCUUUCUUCCAGAUAGGCUAUAGUCUAGUCGACUCUUUCCCACAUGACUUGGACAGGGUCUCCAAGUGGGAAGUCCAUCUCGACCGCAAGAUUGAGGAAACAAACAAGAUCGAGGUAUUUAGGGGAAAGCAUGCGAGGGUAAGCAACGAUCUGGAGAUGAUGAAUGAGCCUCUCUUUACCAAAGAGAUCAUGGAGGAGCCCAUGCUGAAGAAAUUCAAGAUACCUCAGUUCGAGCAUUAUGAUGGCACCUUAGAUCCAAUAGACUAUCUUGAGAGUUAUAGAGCUCUCAUGCUAUUGCAAGAAGCAGCUGACGACGUGAUGGGCCAAGCUUUUCCAACGACCCUCUAGAAAGCUGAUCGGCUCUAGUACUCAAGUCUUCGAUCUAGCUCAAUUGGAUUCUUUGACCAGCUGAGCCACCACUUUGUUGGUUACUUCAUCAGCAAUAAAAGAUGCAAGAAGACCUCGGCUAGUCGGUUCUCUAUCAAGCAAAGGGAAGAUAAAUCCUUUUGCGACUAUAUUAGCCGAUUCAAUGUUGAGAUGUAGAUUAGUGAGCUAGAUCAAUCUAUUGUGGUGGGAAUAGUGAUGAAUGAGAAGAAAGGCUCAUGCUUCAAUUUCUCGUUGGAGAAAAAGUAGCAAAGACUUGGCCGAACUCCCAUCCCAAGUAGACAAGUAUAUCUAUGUCGAGGAAGCUAUAGCUGCUCAGAAGUAGGUCGCACGAGAAAAAAAAGGGCAAAAAGUGUAAGAGCCAUGAAGAAAAAGAUGAGUCGAGAAGAAAACAAAGUCGAGAAGAAAGGAGCACCCCACAGUCGAGAAGUCCAUCUCGAAGAUUCAAGAGGUGUACUCCUCUUAACAUUCUGAGAGCUCAAAUCUUAAUGGAGAUCUGAGAUUGGGGCUACCUGCGCUGGCCUCGAAGGAUGAAAGCUCCUAUCAUGACAGGAGACACGAGCAAAUACUAUCAGUUUCGUAAAGAUCAUGAGCAUAAUACUGAGUGCCAACAAUUGAAACAUGAUUUUGAGGUUCUCAUCAGACAAGGCUACCUCGAUUGAUAUAUUGAUGACUAGCAAAACACUAGUUAGGGCAGGCGAACACUAGAGGUAAAGUGAUGAUCAACCGAUUGCCAAGAUAAUUGCUGCAAUUUUAGAGGAUUUACGAUUGAAGGAUCCAUGCCCCCAACCUAGGUAGCCUACAAAUGAGCAGCCUAAGCUAGAGAGUCAGCCUCUUAAAGAUUAAAGCCAUUGAGCAGGGAGAAUGUGAAAGCUUUGCAUUAAGCUAGGAGAAUAUAUGCUGAAUAAUCGAGCUCGAGAAGCCUGAAGGGGUCCUCGUACAUGAAGCCUUGAUACCGUCAGGGUACACAAAUAGCAAGAAUCAUUGAACUUGAUUUUGUACUUGUUACUACUGAUGAUCAAUGAAAUUGUGUUUUAGUUUUUUGUAAAAACUAGCCCAAUGAGUCCAAGUGCGAUAGGUUGGAUUUGCUUGCUCGAUGAUCUACCUGCUUUUGUGUAUUUGCCGGAUCUACCUAUUUGAUCUUUUCCUCCGCAAUGAUCAUGUGAUAAAGAAAGCUCAUCUAAGGGUACCUCUCACUAUCCAUGGUUCGAAACAUGCUUUAUAAAGGCUUGAUAGCCUUUACAUUCCUCUUGGUGCGCUACUAAAACUUCUAGCUUGUGAAGAAACCCUCCAUGCAGCUCUCCUUGGUGUCGGUCCUUGCAUAUCUACUUUUCUGCCACUCAAUAUUGACUAAAACUUCUAGCUUGUGAAGAAACCCUCCAUGCGGCUCUCCGUGGUGUCGGUCCUUGCAUAUCUACUUUUCUUUCUCUCAAGAAGGUCGUCAAGUGCAAUAUAGUUAGUGGCAAACCAUGUAACAUUUAGCCUCAAUCUCUCCCCCACUUAACUUUCUCAUCGGAGCUAGGAUCUAUGUGUGAUUUUAGGUAAACCUAGUGAUGAUCUGGGCAAUCUUGAUGGCCUACUUGACCUUGCAAAUCUUCUCGAUGCCCAACAGCAUGAGGUCGAUGCAAUGUGUAGCACAUGGUGUCUAGAAAAUGUAUAGCCACCUCAAUAUCAACAACUUAUCGAUAGCCUUAUACUGUAGCCUAUUAUCAGCGACCAUCUGCAUGAUGUUCUACUCUCUUGAUCUAUCAUAUCCUCCAUCAGUUUAAGAAUAUACUAUGCAUCGUGUAGCUCUCUGAACUCCGUGUUGCACCAUUUGCACCUUGAGUGGUGUUAACUUGAGAGCAUGCCACUCUGUUCCUACUCGAUGUCAUGCUUCAGCUCCUUUCCAGAUGGAUUCAUUCCUUAUGGUGAAACCAAGAUAUGCCAAACAUUUUUAUAUUAAUUGGCAUUUAAGUAAUUAAUUAUUUAAAAAUUAGUUAAAUUAUGUUUGGAUUAAAAACUCACCAAUUUAGUCUAGUAAAAUCUUCUAUAUUAAUCAGUUGCAAUACUGAUUUUUUAUUAUUUUUUACUUAAUUAAAUAAUUUUAAUUAUUUUUAUAGUAAUUUAAUAUUUAACUAAAAAUAUCAUGAAAUUUAAUUUUAAUUCAAAAAAAAUGUGGAACCACAACAAGGAUGCUGCAUUUAUUAUUAUUUCAGCUUAUAUUCAUUUAAUUAUUUUUUGAAAAAUAAUUAAAUUUUAGUUUGUGGAAAAAAAUAUUUCUACUUCAGAAAAUACUUCUGAAUCACCUAUGCAUUGUAUGAUUUUUUUUUAUAUUUUUGUAUUAUUUUUAUUUUUUUAUUUUUAUUUAAAAAUAAUUAUUAAAAAUAAAUAAUUUAAAAAUUAUUUUGACCUUACAUUCAUGUAGCAUCCCACAAUAGAUGCUACGUAUAUUUUUUUCAGCCUGUGGGCAUGCGUGGAAAGCCAGUUAUUUUACAAUUUUAUUCAAAUUUGGCUCUAUAUCACUAUUCACAUGAUCCUGCCCAAAUAUGAAUAAAAUUGUACGAAAAUUUUAUGGUGAGUGGCAUUCAUACUCCUAAACAUGCUUCUGAUUUUAUAAUCAUUUUUUGAAUUUUAUUUUAUUUUUUUAAUUUUAAAUUCCAAAAUUUAUUUUUUUAAUUUAAAUAGUUACCUAUUGAAUAAAAAUAUAAAAUUUUGGUGUCAUAAAGAUCUUUCCUAGAUCUAGAACAUAUCAUGAAAUGACACUAAAAUAUACAAAUUUAACAUGACCUUUUCCUAUUUUUUCAAUUUACAACCAAUUUUUGUCCUUUGAAUUAAAAAAAUCAGAAAUGAAGAGAGGAGAGUGGCAUUACCUGAUUUCAGCCAAAAACCAGGGUAAAAUUCAUGAAAAUGGCUAGAAUUGGCCGAUUUUUGAUUUUUUUAAAAGGGGUUCAAAGAGGGUUGGAAGGUGCUGAGAACUCAUGGGGGAGCUUAGUGCCCCCAAUUAUUGGAGUCAGGCAGGCGGUAUGCAUGCCUGAACUGGUGUGAACCAUCCUAUUCGCAUUGGUACCACAUCGAAUUGCUCGGUUCAGUGCGGUUUGGUUUUAUUUCCAAGUCGAGGGGAAUUGUCCCGAUUAUCCUCCAGUACUAUAUAGCAUGGGCCAAACUGCUUGGUUCGGGACGGUUCGGUUGACUUUCAUCUAAAUCCUUUCUCCAUAUCUAUUCCUACCUCAUCAUACUUUUCUCUUCUUCAGCCUAUCCUCCAACAUUGAGUGCUCAAACAACGAAGGAUCACUAGUCUCAAUAGAUCUCAAUGGGUUUUGGGAGUAAGAUCUACCAAAUCUAGGACUUGAUCAUGGAUCUUAUAUUCUACAGGGCAUAACUUUCUUAUCCAAUACCCAUUUUUGGCAGUAUCAAGCAUCACCAUGCAGCUCUUGAGUCUUGAAGAGUACUAUGAUGGUUUGAUGACCUUAAAGGGUUUGUCGUGCAUAGUGAACGAGUAUUAUAAUGAUGUUUAGGCCUUGAAACAGGCCGAUCAAAGUGAAAGUUUUCUUUUUGGGUAAGAUUUUGACUAGGCAUAGCUCACAAUCUAGGAAGAAUUAGGUGAAAUGACUAAAGACAAAGUGAAUAUAGGAGUUAAGAUCUAGUUCUAGGGAGAUUUUGGCUUUUUUAUUAUCAUUUCCACUAGGCAUGACUAUUUACAGAAAGUUUUGAUCUUUUCUAACUAGAAGAGGAAUCUGUCCUGGGCAUGGAAUGCCGUACCGGUCCGGUCCUAGACCGGUACCGGAACGACAAAAAAAUUGGUAUUUUCCGGUUUUUUGUCCGAACCGGUCGGUACCAGCCUCGUACCGGUGCUAACCGGCCGGUUCGCACCGGUACGAUUUUUUUUUAAGAACCACAGCACCGCGCGCUAUAGUUUUUGAAACCACCGCGUACUGGCCGGUACGGUACCGGUACCGACCGGUACCGUACCGGUCCGGCCGGCCACCGGUACGCCGACCGGUACCGGUACGGCGGACCUUGGUUCUGGGUUUUGCAGGUAGACCUUAUUGGUAUAAAUAAGGGCAUUGCAACUCAGAUCUUUCUUCAAGGUACCACAAUUAGCUAUUUGAGCUCAAGCUUGAGCCGGAGCUAAAUAUGGUACCUUGGCUUGGCUUGUCUUGGCUUUUCAAGGUACCAUAUUUAGUUUCAAAUCUUUAUUAUUAACCACAGCUUGAGCCUGAGCUGAGCUCAAGCAGCUACCUAAUGAACAUACCAUAGCCAAGCAUGAGCUGCUUUGAUACUUGGCUUGGCUUGGCACACUUGCACCCCUGAAUAAGACUACUAUUUCAUUGAUUUUGCUGUUAAAAUUUCAAACUCUUGCAAAAUUCACGAAUCUUGAAACACAAGUAUAAUGUCUGUUGCCAAGUGUAAAUGCUUAACUUUCAUUUUGAAAACUAACAAGACAAAUUUUAUAAUUUUUGAUGUUGGAAGGUAUUUAUUGCUCUGUCAAAUUUAAGGAACUUAACUUAAAUAUUCCUCCAUUGACAACCAUAAACUGCCUAGAACACAUGAUCAACACUUCUUUACUCAAUGUCAAACUUAGAUUUGAUGGAACUAUAGGUGCGCUAGCUCCCCAUCCCUCCCUCCCUCCCCACCCCCUCCUCUCGCACACACUCUCUAUACCCCUGUCCCCCUCUCCUUGAGACAGAUUCACUGGAGAUACUAUAGUGAAAUGAAUUACAGUCUCAAAGAACCAGAAUUAGAUUUGAGAAGUGGUUUUCAGCAUUUUAUAAGGAGUAGAAGUUUUUAAGGAUAAUCUGGGAAAUAAAAUUUUCCUGGUUUGCUGUCCCAAAUUUAUAAUAUAGACUAUUUGUUGAGAAACUUCUGAAAAAUAGGGUAUAGAUUCAUAUUUCUUGGAUUCUUGGCACAGGGGAAAAGAUGGAUGGAUGGAUUAUCCAAUAUUAGGGAAGCAAAACUGAGAAUUUAGAGACUAUAGUUUGGUUUACAGCAUGUUAAGUGUUUCAUAUAUCUGUUUCUAGAAACCAUUUACAACUUGAAAAAAAGGUGAUAAAGAAAGCACAACUAAAAGGAAAUGACUUACAGAAAAGAUGAUGGUCAACCUGGUUUUAGAUCUAUUUAUUUGCAAAUCCAAUUACAGAGAUUAAAAACAGGGGACACGGUAAGGGAAGAAGAGGGAAGAUAGAAAAAAAAGAAUAAUUUGGAAUCAAAAUUGUCAAACUGUCUGUUACAAGCAUUUAACCAUAGCUCUUAUUGUGUAAGUGGUUGGUGCAACUAAAUAAGCUGUUUCAAGUCCACUUUAAUCUCUAAGUAGAUGAAGGGAAAUAAGAAAAAGGCACUAUUGAAUUCAUUAGUUUCUGUACUAAUUUUCCAAAUUUUAUUCUGAGGAAGGUCAGGUACAAACAUGACCCUUUGUCCUACAUCGUAAUCAUAAACCUGUAUCAAUUGUUUUCUUUCUUGCUGGAAUCGUCCUUCAAUUCAGUCCCUUUCUAUUGGCUUGGCAUCUUCGAGAAGCUCCAAGAAUGUCCUUUGUUUGGGAUGGCUUAUGUAUGCUAUUAGUUUUAGUCUGACCAGAAAUUUUAGAUAUAUGUUGUGAUUAACUGGACAUCAGGGUCAUGUAAUCACCCUGGCUGAAACAUAGUUGCUUCUCAAAUCUUUACAUUUGAUUAACUGGGUAGUCUUGAAAGAUACUCCUCAAUGAUCAUUAUUUCGACUAACUUUCCAUGUCCGGUAAUGGUUAGCAUGGAAAUAAUCAUGCACUCAUCUUCUGUCCUUUUCAUGUUGCAUUUACUUUCCGCUGAAAGAGUUACAUAAUUUCACUUUACCAUUUCUAUCAGAAUACAUAAUUCUGAGGUACUCAAAGAUUAUGUACUUGUUCAUAGACAAAGUUGCAAAAGCAGGAGGUGGGUAGUCUAGAGUUUAUUCGUCUUGUCCUUUCUUAGUAAUUGCUGCUCUUCCUUUUGAUGUAGUGUUGACAUUAUCGGGAUCCUUUGUGGACUCAUCUCUAACUAUAAGAGCUGCAGCUUCUCUUUGAUAGAAACUAUGUCUGUCUGCCAUUUUUCCAAUCUAGCCAAAGAUAUUGUUUCUUUUUUCCUGUUCUUUUGCUUUGUAUGCUUGUUUUGUCUUCUCUAGUUCAGAUGUAAUGAUAUCCUCAUCAUAAUUGACUAGUAAGAUAUAGGGUGUGGGUUCUGCAAGUACUUUGUAGAAACUCCGAACAUAUGCACUUCUGCUGUUCUCUAGAUAGUUCACAUAUAAUGGUCUCACCUUCACAACUGACAAGUUUCAUGGAUUGGUGCUUUCUUACAUCUACAUGUAGCAUUAACAGAUAAAAUCAAAUCUCUUCCAUCAUUUCUACAAUAUCACAUUGCAGCGUUUCAAUCUUUUGUUAUAAACAUCAUCACAAUUACAGUAUGCAUGAGCUUGUUGAUGAUGUUUACAAUCACGUAAAAGCAAAAUUUCAUUCCUGAUGCUUAUGAGGCUUUUCAUUGCCUUGCCAUCUCUUACCCCUACCUGCAUUUGCUUGCUACACAUAUAUAAAACUAUCUCGCAUAAGUAACUUAGACUGGAAAUUACUUUAGGGGCCAUGGCAUUUGAUAUGGAGUAUGCCCGGUGGCUUGAUGAACAUCAACGUCAGAUUAAUGAACUGAGGUCAGCAUUAAAUGCUCAUGUGGGUGAUGAUGAGCUGCGGCUUCAUGUUGAUGCUGUGAUGACACAUUAUGAUGAAGUUUUUAGGCUCAAAAGCAUCGGUACAAAGUCUGAUGUCUUCCACAUGCUUUCAGGCAUGUGGACAACCCCUACAGAGAGGUGUUUCAUGUGGUUGGGGGGAUUCAGAUCAUCUGAACUUUUAAAGGUAAUUAUUAGAAUUUCUUUUAGGCUUUUAGCAUAUAUUACCAUUGCAAAUAUAGCUUAUUGCAUAUAUAUCGUCUGAAAAUCACUAUUUGCAUAUAUAUAUAUAUAUAUAUAUCAUCAAAUUUUGGCUAAUAAAAUUAAUAAAAAACCAUUUUGAGCAUCAUUCGGCACUAUUACCCUUUUACUUUAAGGCCUUUAAAAUUUAACAUUCAAUUUGUGUUGAAAAGAGCAAUAUUUUAUAUAAAUUUUUCAACAGUAUCAAUGCAAAAGGAUAAGAGACUCAUUUUCUACUUUAAAUGGUUAUUUAUUAAUAUAUUAAAAAAAAUCUAGUAGAGAGAUUUAUACAAAAGCAAGAUGAUUUAGGGUUGUGUAUGCAAAUAGUAAUUUUUGGAGGGUAAAUAUGCAGUCAGCUAUAUUAGUAAGCAUAUAUGCAAAAUAACCAUUUCUUGGGUAUUCUUAAACAGAAACUAGAAUUACGAAUCCUAGAAGUCGAUGUUCUUUGAACGUCAAGUUGAUUAUUCUGAAAAAUUUGCAGAUACUAGCAAACCAUCUUGAACCUUUGACAGAUCAGCAGUUGAUGGGUUUAUGUAACCUUCAGCUGUCAUCCCAACAGGCUGAGGAUGCCUUGUCUCAGGGAAUGGAAGCCUUGCAGCAAUCUCUUUCAGAUACCCUUGCUUCAGCUUCUCUUGGGCCAUCUGCUGGUUCUGAUAAUGUUGCUAAUUACAUGGGCCAGAUGGCGAUUGCUAUGAGCAAGCUAGGGACGCUAGAGAGCUUCCUUCGGCAGGUAUGAGGCAUACUUGACAAUCAAAAUGUCUUUUCUUACAUCCUAUUUUUUUUGCUCUCUAAAUGUAGAGAAGGGUCAUAAACUUUCAAAAAGUUAGUUCUAGAUAUUUUUGUAGAUGUUCUAAAUUUCUUGUUUUCUCCUGACAUUUGUGAAUGAUGUCCUUUAAGUUAUAAAAGAUAUUAUCAAGGCAAUAUUUUUCAAAAUUCUGAUAAUAUUCAUUUUGAACUUGCUAAGAAUCGUUACAUGUGUAUAUGUAUGUAUAUAUAAAUCUUUAGCAUUUCUUCAAGUGAUUUCUUGCAUGUCUUCGGACGUAACCCUAUUUGUAUGACAAUAUGCUUCUUUUCCUAGGCUGAUCUUUUGCGGCAGCAGACCUUGCAUCAAAUGCAUCGCAUAUUAACGACCCGUCAAGCAGCCCGUGCACUGCUGGCCAUCAGUGACUACUUCUCUCGCCUCCGGGCACUUAGCUCUUUAUGGCUGGCUCGCCCUAGGGAUUAGUACUAAUUAUAAUUGUAAAGGGGAUAGAUAAUAUAUGAUUAAGAUGUAGGCGAUGGAACAAUGGAGUAAUUUUGAUGGUGUGAGUAAACUGAGGAAGGGCCUCUUUGGAAGAAGGAUGAAUGUGCUUCAUUGUUCUAUUCUUCGAUUUCAUGCCACAUGAUAACUAUAAUUAAUGAUUUAUAUAGAUGCAUUUGAGUUAUAAUGCUUAUAAUGCUUGAUUAUCUUUGUUAAAAGUGUUGUAUGGAUGUGCAAGGACGGUGCUAGUUUAACUAAUGUCUUCUUAGCCAUCAGAAACAGACAAUAGUGCCAUUUAAAACUAUAGAAACUACUCCCACAAGCAAAUGUAAUAACUGCUUUAUCAGCAUAGAAUGUAUUCUUUAACGUUGUCAUCAGUCAUAAAUUCAUCAAUGGAGUACAUGAUGAGGUUGGAUGUAGCAGUCUUUAGACACACUGAACAACACUAAUUCACAUGAUAGAUUCGGAAAAAUACAUGCAUACAUGAAGAAAUCGAGAUCACAAUCUGACUUAUCAUCAAAAUCCUCCUUAGAUGCAUCAAAUCUAAGCUAAAAAAUAUAUCAAAAAUAAAUAAAUAGUACCUCAAAAAAUAAGUUGGAGAUGGUGACUAAAGUGGCGAAGCUGGCGAUGGAGAAGUUGUUGGAGAAGGAGAGAUGAUGGACUGAUAAUUCAG
RNAcentral lists this long non-coding RNA (14332 nucleotides) under Phoenix dactylifera (date palm). RNAcentral's name for it is "long non-coding RNA (PDAC_LNC001523)". The record is from RNAcentral. Lineage: Eukaryota; Viridiplantae; Streptophyta; Magnoliopsida; Arecales; Arecaceae.